GACGAACGCUGGCGGCGUGCUUAACACAUGCAAGUCGAGCGGUAAGGCCCUUUCGGGGGUACACGAGCGGCGAACGGGUGAGUAACACGUGGGUGACCUGCCCUUAGCUCUGGGAUAAGCCUGGGAAACUGGGUCUAAUACCGGAUAUGACUCCAUGACGCAUGUUGUGGGGUGGAAAGCCUUGUGCGGCUAGGGAUGGGCCCGCGGCCUAUCAGCUUGUUGGUGGGGUGAUGGCCUACCAAGGCGACGACGGGUAGCCGGCCUGAGAGGGCGACCGGCCACACUGGGACUGAGACACGGCCCAGACUCCUACGGGAGGCAGCAGUGGGGAAUCUUGCGCAAUGGGCGAAAGCCUGACGCAGCGACGUCGCGUGAGGGAU
This 380-nucleotide ribosomal RNA is filed under the name uncultured bacterium. RNAcentral's name for it is "bacterial SSU rRNA". It matches the Rfam family "Bacterial small subunit ribosomal RNA", at positions 28 to 409 of the family's 1533-position model. The record is from RNAcentral.